AACACGUUGGUAUCUGCCCCCAAGUCAGGGAUAGCCAUUGGAAACGAUGAUUAAUACCGGAUAGUCUCUUCGGAGUAAAAAUUUAUUGCUUGGGGAGGAACCUGCGUUCUAUCAGCUAGUUGGUGAGGUAAUAGCUCACCAAGGCAAUGACGGAUACCUGGUCUGAGAGGAUGAUCAGGCACAAUGGAACUGAGACACGGUCCAUACUCCUACGGGAGGCAGCAGUGAGGAAUCUUCCACAAUGGACGAAAGUCUGAUGGAGCGACACCGCGUGAAGGAUGAAGGCCUAACGGUUGUAAACUUCUUUUCUGAAGGAGCAUAAUGAGAGUACUUCAGGAAUAAGGGACGGCUAAAUACGUGCCAGCAGCCGCGGUAAUACGUAUGUCUCAAGCGUUACCCGGAAUCACUGGGUGUAAAGGGUUCGUAGGCGGUAUUAUAAGUCAGACAUGAAAGACCGGAGCUCAACUCCGUGUUUGUGUUUGAAACUGUAUCACUAGAAUCAGGGGAGAGGUUAGCGGAAUUCUGAGUGUAGGGAUGCAAUCCGUA
Molecule: ribosomal RNA, 546 nt
Filed under: uncultured bacterium
Lineage: Bacteria
Description: bacterial SSU rRNA
Rfam family: Bacterial small subunit ribosomal RNA
Source: RNAcentral